Molecule: microRNA precursor, 75 nt
Filed under: Bombyx mori (domestic silkworm)
Lineage: Eukaryota; Metazoa; Arthropoda; Insecta; Lepidoptera; Bombycidae
Description: mir-2807 microRNA precursor family
Rfam family: mir-2807 microRNA precursor family
Source: Rfam by way of RNAcentral
UUAACUCAAAUUUGUAUGCAGUUUGAACGUAUGCUUACGUUAGCCGCUGUUCGAAUUCCAUACAAAUUGGAGUUA